Molecule: transfer RNA, 72 nt
Organism: Camelus ferus (Wild Bactrian camel)
Lineage: Eukaryota; Metazoa; Chordata; Mammalia; Artiodactyla; Camelidae
Rfam family: tRNA
About the family: Transfer RNA (tRNA) molecules are approximately 80 nucleotides in length.
Source: Rfam
GAGGGUAUAGCUCAGUGGUACAGUGGGUGCUCAGCAUGCACGAGGUCCUGGGUUCAAUCCCCAGUACCUCCA